CUAGAUUCGAGACCCAGAAGCUGGGUCAACCUUGCCUUUCUUCAUUGAGAAGCCUCUUCUCGGCUUCCGAGGGGAGCUGCUUUCUGCAAUGUCUGGCAUCCACACGGUCAAAGAAUGAUAAGAAAAUUGGCAGCAGAGAGCAAUCACUGUGCCUUCCGGGUGUGCAUGGGGAAACCUAUUCAAAAGACCAAAGCUCUUCCCAGUUUCGUCCCCAAUUCCCCAGAAGCAGUUCUGGAAUUCUCCUUUCCCUAACAUCAUUCCAACCUGUGCUAGCCACCUGCAAGAUGAGAUGCCAAUGGGAGAAAAACAAGGUUCUUCAUUCAGUAGCCAGCCUCCUGCCAAAUGUGAACGAGACUGACAGGAAUCAGCCAGCCCUGAAGACUCAUCUACUUACUGCACAGCCAGCAGCUGAUUAUAACAAUGUGACUCACUGUAGCAGAGAAGUAGAAGAACCACCCGACUGAGCCCAACCCAGUUUACUGACCCUUACAACUCUGAACUAAAUAAAAAGUUAUGAUUUGAUGCCACUAUGUACUGAGGCAAUUUUCUGGGCAGCAAAAUCUAACUGAUGGGAGAACUUGUUUUUGACCUAUUCCUUUUUUAUCUAAUUUGCCUAGUUAGAUAGGAAGAUCUUUCAAUGCAGUUGUGUGUCUAAAGGAACUUGUUUUAUUAUUUGAAUAUGAAGUCGUUUAACUUUUUACAUUCUGUGACUCAGACAGGGAUGGAUUUUGUUGUUGGUGUUUUGCCACAUUCCCCUUUCAGGACCAUAUCUGGUUACAAAAGGCUUGUAGUUUUUAAAGCCCAGAGCAAAAGAACUCUAAAAAGGAAACUCUUGAAAUUUCCAAACCCUUGAGUAGAUAUUGUGACACCUGUUUUUUUGUUUUGUUUUGUUUUUUGUUUUUUGACAUCUUUUAAUCUAGGUAGGCUUCUAGAUAGGCCAAAGCGGCAAGGGAAGGAAAUACGCUUUUUAGCUCACGGUGCCUCCCACAGUGCUCACAGAAGUGACUUCUCCGGAAAUUGUUACAAGGUUAAAGUAAGAAGUAGCUAUGUGUUGCUCAUAGACCCAGAACUCUUCUAAACGUUUUCAGUUUUGGAGAACAGUGAAAGGGGGCGCUUUAGUCUAUUUUCCCUGUGCCAACGUGGUAAGCUGAGAGUCCUCUUUUAAGGAAGUGACAAUAAUGGGCAGGAGGGCCGGGCGGGCGGUGUGUGUGUGUGUGGUUUAGCUCAGUGGCGCCGCCCCCUGCCUCAUAAGCGCAAGGUCCAGCGUUCAAUCCCCAGUAAAACAAAACAGAACAAAACAAAACAAAUCACUAAACAAUAAUGGGCAGGAGAGCCUCAAUUAGUUAAUUAAAUUUGUAGUAGCAAUAAUUUGGGAAUUCUGGAAAACACUUUCCAAGUAAGAUGUACAAAAGUUACUGUGAAUGCCAGGAAAAUUUGUUUUAGGGACAAAAUGCUUUCAGUAAAAAACAAAAAACAAAACACACAAAAAACUGCUGUUUUUAAAUACCUGACAUGCAGAAAAAUGAAUUCCAUCCUAACCACAGGUUUGCAAAUAGCCGACCGCUUUCCAAAGGUUCUGUACGUUGUAAUCAUGGUGUCGACUUAUUACAGCCU
RNAcentral lists this long non-coding RNA (1614 nucleotides) under Fukomys damarensis (Damara mole-rat). Its description in RNAcentral is "lncRNA (ENSFDAG00000022252.1)". The record is from RNAcentral. Lineage: Eukaryota; Metazoa; Chordata; Mammalia; Rodentia; Bathyergidae.